ACGUCUCAGUUCGGAUUGUAGUCUGCAACUCGACUACAUGAAGCUGGAAUCGCUAGUAAUCGCGAAUCAGAAUGUCGCGGUGAAUACGUUCCCGGGUCUUGUACACACCGCCCGUCACACCAUGGGAGUCGGAAAUGCCCGAAGUCUGUGACCCAACCUCAGGGAGGGAGCAGCCGAAGGCAGGUCGGAUGACUGGGGUGAAGUCGUAACAAGGUAUC
This 218-nucleotide ribosomal RNA is filed under the name uncultured bacterium. Its description in RNAcentral is "partial 16S ribosomal RNA". It matches the Rfam family "Bacterial small subunit ribosomal RNA", at positions 1283 to 1500 of the family's 1533-position model. The record is from RNAcentral.